GGGGCCGACCUGGUUUCGACGUGGGUACGGAAUUGGAGUAGGGCAUGCCGAGCACCAGUUCGCUCGUAAAACCACUGGAAACAAAGUAACUGCGAACGACUCUACGUACGCCCUCGCCGCUUAACACCGGUGAGCCUCUCAACGGUUGGCCGAUGGGCCGGGCCCGCAAGGGCUGAGAGGUAAUCUACAUUGGCUGGUAUCCGAUGGGGUCACUCAGUCGGGUACGAGAUCUAGUGACUGGCGUUGCCUGAAGGGUGUUCCUGCCCGUCAGCGACGUGAGAUUCAAAUCAGAGAACUACGCAUGUAGAACUACCUGAGGAUGGCUUGCGGACGGGGGUUCAAUUCCCCCCGGCUCCACCA
This is a non-coding RNA of Leptothrix cholodnii SP-6, 360 nucleotides long. It matches the Rfam family "transfer-messenger RNA". From Rfam's summary of the family: Bacterial tmRNA, also known as 10Sa RNA or SsrA, is named for its dual tRNA and mRNA-like properties. NCBI's taxonomy places the organism in Bacteria, Pseudomonadati, Pseudomonadota, Betaproteobacteria, Burkholderiales, Sphaerotilaceae. The record is from Rfam.